RNAcentral lists this ribosomal RNA (253 nucleotides) under uncultured bacterium. Its description in RNAcentral is "partial 16S ribosomal RNA". It matches the Rfam family "Bacterial small subunit ribosomal RNA", at positions 524 to 776 of the family's 1533-position model. The record is from RNAcentral.
GACAGAGGUGCCAAGCGCUAGGCGGAAUCACUGGGCUUAAAGCGUGUGUAGGUGGAUUUGUAAGUACCUUGUGAAAUCCCAUGGCUCAACCAUGGAACUGCUCGGUAUACUGCGAAUCUUGAGCCACUUAGGGGCUACCGGAACAAAUGGUGGAGCGGUGAAAUGCGUAGAUAUCAUUUGGAACGCCAAUGGUGAAAACAGGUAGCUGGGAGUGUGCUGACACUGAGACACGAAAGCCAGGGGAGCGAACGGG